ACCAUUUUUUUUUUGGUUCGUCAUAGACAUGUUCCAAGACAUUACGGGUUACAGCCACCAAACCCAAGUUCUAUACGCGUUUAAGCUGUGAAAAAAUAGGUAUGCCGCGAACACGGCACACAAUCUAUCAUAAGUUGUACAAUAUGCAUCAAAUAAAAUUGCACCUUUCUUGACAUAAUGCCUACGAUAGCUUCUCAUUUGCUAAUUUAUCUCAAACACAUAUAUGGGUGAGGGAGACCUCAUUCCAAUUUUAACUGAGAGAGGAGAUCGAAGUAUGUGGAUGACAGGAUAAAACCAACUAGAAUGAAAUCUCACAAGGUGCAUGAAAUGUUCUUCCACGGCAUAUAGCUUCUAAGUUUUCUCCAGCAUAUGAGCAAAGUGGGGAUACCUCCACACCAGUAGCAUAUAAGGGCACUGAAUGCGUUAAGAAGCCGCCUGCUGCAACUACCCAGCGAGUGUGGAGCCUAAGCACAAGCAGACGAGCACUGUCUGGAGUGUCAAAAUUUGACCCAUUGGCAUUUUUAACUGGUGCAAACUCUUCUUCACGUAAUACCUCAAAGAGAGCAGUUGAAGGAGUAUAUGGAAAUGCAUCAAAUAUGAAUUGCUCUAGUUUAAAUCCCAAUGUAAAUCCAUGAAUUGAAGGAAUUUUCUUCUCUGCGAGAUGGUAAAUGCUGUCUUUCUCGAGAGCAUUUGCCACUUGAUUUAGAAAAUCCAAAGUAAACAUGUGUAAACACACAUUACUCCAACAAAAACGAAGGCGUCCAGUUUCCUGAUUGACUACAGAAGCUAGUGACUGAUCCAACUCACUGUAUUCAACAACAGUGAGAGGUCCUCCUUUACCUCGCCUCACAAACACACCAACCUUUUCUUGAGGAUAGGCCUUACGAACAACUUUUGCAGCAGCAGCUACAGCUUUAUCAAUGAAAUAUCCCAAAAAAGUCGGAUCAGCUACACGAACCAAUGCAUUGUCUACUCCAUAGCAAUCCACAUAUUUAAUCCCUCUCGUGGCCAUAUCUUCUAAUAAUUUUGAAUAUUUCAAAGCUGCAUAUACUCCUCCAUUUCCGUCUGGAGACUUAGCUACUCUGAAUGGAGUCUCCAUGAUAAAUCUGCCAUCCUUUGAAACACUAGGUAUAGUACCCUGCUGAAAGAAGGUCACUUGAUCAGAUUCAAGACCAAAGAACUUAUGACUUUCAAAAAAUUUGCGAGUGGCCUCAUCAGUGAAUGGACUGGUCAUUACGUACCAAUGUAUGGACACCGAACCACCAGAACCUUCACUUGCAGCUUGAACAGCUAGUCUUUGGACACACAGAAUUCGUUCAGCCUGAAGUUGAAAAAGGGACUUGCCUGAUGGAAGUCCAACGUUGAAACAUCCUUUUGGAUCUGAACUUCCCAGCCUUGUGCCCUGGCCACCGGAUAAAAGCAAAACAGCCAACUUCCCAUCAGAGAUCGCCUUCAAUCCCAUCUUCCACCACCUCUCUCUUUCUUCCAAAGUUCUCUCCUCCACCGUAGACACACAACUCUCAGGAACUGGCUCUAUGGCAGCUACAGGUAGCCCUUGAGAACGAAGUGAACAUCUAAUUAUCCGAUCUAGCCUUGGAAGAUCUAAACUCUCGAUGUCCUUAACAAGAAGGUCUCGCUCGUCAGGAGAGAGCUCAUCCCAGAGAGCAAAAGCGUCUUCCUGACCAUAAUCUUUGAGCCUCUCCAGCAAAGCCUGUGGAGGAGGAGGAGGAGGCGAAGGCGUUAAUGGCAAUGAAGCGUUAGUCUCAAUCGGUUCUCUCAUAUUUUUUUCUUCUUCUUCUUCUUCUCUCUCUGAAUCUGAGCAGAAAAUUUUGGCUUCUCUAUGUAGAUCUCUCUUUGGGUUUCUGUUUACAGUUUGUUGGUUAAGCUUUGCUUAUAGAGAGCGAGGGGAGAAC
RNAcentral lists this unclassified non-coding RNA (1913 nucleotides) under Hevea brasiliensis (rubber tree). The record is from RNAcentral. Lineage: Eukaryota; Viridiplantae; Streptophyta; Magnoliopsida; Malpighiales; Euphorbiaceae.